Long non-coding RNA from Choloepus didactylus (southern two-toed sloth), 180 nucleotides. RefSeq lists it as uncharacterized. The record is from RefSeq and is a predicted model, not a curated record. NCBI's taxonomy places the organism in Eukaryota, Metazoa, Chordata, Mammalia, Pilosa, Megalonychidae. The transcript has 3 exons.
AUUAUUGUUAAAAAGAAAAUAAUCGAAAACAGGAGUGGGGGAAGGAGUGCUGAUCUAGAAGGCAGGAGAACACUGGCCAGAGGACAAGUGAGGAUGGCUCCAUUGAACUGGGCAGCUUCCUGCUACCUGGAAAAAGAUAAGACAUCCCCUCCACUGGAAAGCUUUCUUACCAUUUCUUGG